CGCUCGCAUGGCUCAGUGGUAAAGCGCAUGACUCGUAAUCAUGAGAUCCCCGGUUCAAUCCCGGGUGUGAGCAUUCG
RNAcentral lists this transfer RNA (77 nucleotides) under Penicillium nalgiovense. RNAcentral's name for it is "tRNA-Thr". It matches the Rfam family "tRNA". From Rfam's summary of the family: Transfer RNA (tRNA) molecules are approximately 80 nucleotides in length. Their secondary structure includes four short double-helical elements and three loops (D, anti-codon, and T loops). The record is from RNAcentral. Lineage: Eukaryota; Fungi; Ascomycota; Eurotiomycetes; Eurotiales; Aspergillaceae.